AUGGCUGGUCGCCGCUACGAGUGGAUCAACUGGGAUGGCCUUGGCAACGAGGCGGAGGAGGAUGCGGCCGAUUUGAACUACGACUACGAGUGGGUCGUACCCGACCAAGAUGAAGACGUGGCAGAGAGUUCCCACCGGCGUCGGGGAGGAAGGCUUGGCCUGGCAGGUGGAGUAAGGGGUCGGGACGUGGGACUUGGACGAGGAAAUGCUGGUCGAUCAGGACUUGGACGAGGAGGCGCUGGCGGAUCAGGACUUGGUCAGCAUGUACGUUCAGUCGUGAACCAAGCAAUGGUGGGGGGAAAUGGUGAGGGAGGCGGCAGGGAGGACGACGGGCAUGCACGCGGCAGCGGCGACCAUGCACGCGGUGGACGCCGGCUUGGACUUGCGGGGUCAAGGCGUGGCCCUAAUCCGGUGACAAGGUGGCCUGUUGAUCGUCCAACUGUAGAAGCACAAGAGAAUGGUGGAGUUGGUGAUUCUGAGGAGCAUGUAGAACAAGAAUAA
This 501-nucleotide ribosomal RNA is filed under the name Triticum aestivum (bread wheat). RNAcentral's name for it is "partial small subunit ribosomal RNA". Lineage: Eukaryota; Viridiplantae; Streptophyta; Magnoliopsida; Poales; Poaceae. The record is from RNAcentral.